RNAcentral lists this long non-coding RNA (851 nucleotides) under Nicotiana benthamiana. Its description in RNAcentral is "long non-coding RNA (NBEN_LNC034583)". Lineage: Eukaryota; Viridiplantae; Streptophyta; Magnoliopsida; Solanales; Solanaceae. The record is from RNAcentral.
AAGAACAAGCAAUGUAAGAGAAUUCGUAAAGAACUUUCUAGUUCUUUAAUAUUUACCCAUGUGAAUUCUCUAUUAUUUUUGUACAUCAUACUUAAAUUGGUAUGGCUAACCCAAAUGUCAACUUAAUAAAUUAUCAAUAUGAUAAAGUACAUAUUUACAUGUGCAAUUAUCAGUAAACUCCAAGUUUAUUAUAAUAUGAGUUUUUAUAUCAAUAAGCAUCCACUUUAUUGUGGUAUUCGUUUAUUUGUGUAGUACAAACUGGAGAAUAAAGCUAGCUUUUCAUAUACAGAUUAUCCCGCUACAAGUUGUAGUAAUAGAAGAUAUCAAAUAUUUCCUUUAUUUAUUGUCUGAAUAUAAUCAACCGCUUUCGCAUAUACUUUGGAAACUGAAUAAGUUUCUUUGAGACUUACUACAACACAAUACCUUAUUGGUUCUUGCAGAGUUCUCAAUUAAUUUGGUACUACCACAUAUUCAUGAGCAUCCAUAUGGUGAAUAUCUCUUUUAAAGAGAACCUUAUACCAUUAUGGUCAUGGUCAAAAUUAUAUGCAAGAUAUGUUUCUUGCAUUAUUAUUGUUCUUUAAUAAUCACAUUGCCAAAAUAUUUUGACGUACAAUAGGUAUGUCACCAAUGACCAUUCAUGCCAUAAUAAAUGAUAUUAUUUUCUUAAAACUCAACAAGUUCCUCUUCGACUUGGAGGAGAACAUUGCAUUCUCAAAGAUAAAUAUUGUUCCUUUAGGCAGUGUUAUAGUAGCACUUCUAGAGCCUUCAAUUAAUUUACUAAUAUAAGAAAUUAUAGUAACAUCUGCCUUACACAUACUUAAAUGAGAGAAAUAUUUCUUCUCUUUGAANNN